AACUAUGCUGAGUACGUUGGGCGUACUCCAAUGUACACUAAGUGUACUGGCCUGCUAGUGAGUAUGCUGGGCUUACCUACACGUACGCUCAGCGUAAUCCUCCUGUUAAGACACUUUUCCAUUAAGUGGUUGAUACUCCACUCUAGAGGCUACCAACUCAGAUCCAGGUCCUUACUGAUGUCUUAAACCAUAAAGUCACUAACUUGGUGACUUGCAAUCCACCAAACAAGCCCAAACUCUAAAAGGUGACAACAUGCUUUCAUUCCAAGGGCUAGAUCUCAUGCGUGGACACAAAUGAGUCCUAAAGGUUGAAACUUUACUGCUUAUGGGACUCAUAUGACACUAAUGGUGGCAACCCUGGACCUAGAAGGCGAGUUGUGACAUAGAGGUCAAAUCUUGGAACCAAAAGGACCGAAAACUUCCAUUAACAUAGAUCUAAGCAUACUUAAGGAAAGUUUCAGACUUGAUACCUCACAAUGGUCUGAAAUGGAACCAAAAUCUCCGAUCUACAGCAUCCCUUUCGAUCCACCACCUUGCUAAUCUCUUCUCUUGUUUUGUAAUGGCUUUACAGCCCCCAAAUACUCACUUAAUGGCCACCAAAGCUUCAAUAACACUCAAGGAGGGUUAGGGUUUCGUGGAGACUGCCUAAGGAUGAGAUGGGGCUGGCCCCUUUAAGCAUAAUGUUCCUUUUAUAAUGUCACAACCCCAAAUUAGGGUUUUAGGAAAACUGAGCGUAUGCUGGGCAUACGCCUCCGCGCACCCGCGACCAUGCACCUUAUGACGCUGGGCGUACCCACGCGCCUCUUAUUUGCAUGCGUGCAUCUUCUUGCCAAUUUUCCCAUUAAGGGACCAUUUAUGUCAAUAACUUCAAAUCAUCAUAAUUCCUUCAUUCUAAGUCCGUUUCUGACACACCUUAUAUCCACGGAAAGGUAACGAGAAGCCCUACACUUCUAUCAACUCAUAUCUUCCUAAAUAUCUUCUGAACAAAAGUCCAUUUUCCAAAAAAAACCCAAACUGGCAUUUUACCGAAAUACCCCUAGGCUCCAAAACACGAACCGAACACCCGGAUCACUUCUAAUAUAUCACCCGCACCCAAAAGGGGCUAGAUCUUACCUUCACAAGAGCCAUAAUCCUUAUAAUGACUGACCUUCGAGCUAGCACCUCAGACUAGGAGUCACUUCGGAAUAGAGCGUUACAACUCUCCACCACUUAGAUUAGAUUUCGUCCUCGAAAUCAUGCAUCACUGUCCCCGACAUACCAAACAACCUGGACAGCACCGCCACAAACCCGUGAAUACCACAGCCCACUUAAGGCAACUGAACCCAAUCCUCCUAAUGUUCUAGAACACGGAGAUGAACAAAUUCCUUACAACCCGAUCACACCUGCCCCAUCUGAAAUCUGAAAUCUCGAGAUGGUCUGUCUCCCUGACAGACUGUCCACAACGAAUCAUCAUCGAACUGAUGCUUCCUUAAGAGCAACAUCACUGACCAACCGUGACUACCGAAUAUAAGCAAUUCUACAUACAGACCCCAAAUCACUAAAGUCGCUCCUAAUCCUCUUGCUGCCACAUGGAUGCUUUCCUGGAGAACACCUGAGGACCUCCCUGGUCCCAGCCUGUCUGCCAACUGUCCAGAACACCCCAUACAUACCUGAUUGUGUGAGCCGAAAACACACUCAACAGUCCCCUGCGACCUCUGACAGACUACCUCGUCCAACCAUAAUUUCCCUAUCUCCUUUAACCCAUUGAUCCAUCCGAUAGAGAUAGGCUGACAAACCGUCGCCACUGAACCCAACACCAAAAAGAUGAAUACUACCAAAAUAGCUGUAGACUUACAUCAUACCCGGCCUCCGUCGACCCAUCGUUUCCUGAUUCUGACAUGUCGUGGCUCUAUUACGGAUAGGGCCACCCGAGACACAUCACAAUGGCUUAAACUACCAUCAAACCAAUCCGUUCACCACCCUGAAAUUCUACCGUCGAUGCCCUUGGCAUAUAGAUUCCCCACAUCCCAGCUCACUAAAAUAAAAUCCCGCAUGCAUUCCGAUUCGGGUUCCUAUCCAAAUCCAAAUUGUUACUCCGGUCCUGUCCAAAGAUCCUCGAAUCGGCAUUUGCAUAUUGAACCAUGACUUCCUGUCAUCCCUUACUCGACCAAUUAAUAAAUACCCUUAGCCGAUUCCCUGAGACUUCCAGUCUCGCACCCGGUCCAAUCACCAGGUUCUUAUGAGAUGCAAUAACAGGGCUACCCAGCUGUAGCCCAGCAGAAACAUGAACUACUCGACCACCAAAAUCCUGCAUCCCCAGGUCCAACCCUUAGCUCAGCAGUCUCUACAGGUUCCAUCCUAAAUUCCCAUAACCAUCCGGGCUCACCCCCGAAUAACUGAUCGGUCAAUCACCUCUGGUCCUGAUCCUAACUAAGUUGUGGCUCCCCCACAACCCUACGAACUAGCCUGCGCUAGUCCAAAUCACUUGGAAGAAACCGUGAACGCUACGACACCCUCGUAGUCUUACAACACUCUCUACUGCUAGUGAAUGCUACGACUCCCCCGUAGUCUUACAACACUUUCCACACUAUCCGACUGCUAGUGAAUACUACAACUCCCCCGUAGUCUUACAACACUUUCACCUUCACAUUAUCACUGAACAUAACCCUAUCACUCAUCUAUCAAUCCAAACAUAUGUUGGAUUAGUGUCUAAGCCCGUAACCAUAUUUGGUAAGUACUUUACCCGGUUGUGCAUGGUCCUUUUGGGUUGCCUUCAAACCUGACAAUGGAAUAGGAUAAUUGUUGGAGAGAGAAGAAUGAUUUAUUAAUUUAUUACUUGAUUAAUAAAUUAAUUUGAAAUCAAGAUAAAUGAUUUAUUAAUGUAUUAUGGAUAUAAUAUAUUGAUUAGAAAUCAUAUUGUUUAAUUAAUAUUUAAUCAGAAAUUAAUUUGGAAUUAAUUUUAGGAUUAAAGGAAUUAAUUGAAACUGCAGGGACUAAAGGUGACAAUGUUCAAAAGUUGAGCAUUGAAGCAUUCUAGAACCUCCCUUAGAGGUGGGGAACGAAAUCUAGAGUAUCCUAGGGUUUCCUUGGGCUCUAAGGGUGCCUUGGAAGCCUUAGGGAGGAACUUAAAGGAUUAGGGUUGUCUAAGAUACACUCGCCUUAUCCUAAACCUUCCUUAUCACCUAUGUAAACCCCUAUAGGGUUGGAUUUCGUGUAAGGCACUCCAAGAGAGGCUUAGAGCUGAAUUUUCCACUUCCUUUCUCUCUCCAUAGUAAUCAUUGUGGCGCUUGCUUUCAAAGACAAGAAGAUUCAAGAUUUAAGUUGUUAUUACAAUAUAACAACAAGAGGUAUGUAUUUCAUCUUUCUUUGUGAAUUUUGAAAUCCCUAGAAUCUUGUUAGGUUUCUUCACAUGUUCAUAAUGUUGUAUAACUAAUAGUGAUAACAUAGAUCCAACUCUAGGGUUGCAUGCACACAUAGGAUUGUUUGUAUAAAACCCAUCAACAUAUCUCAACGUUGAGCGCCCACUUGGUCUAUCCUCCCAACUGAACUAGAAAACUGGCUGGAACUCUACCUGGUUCCCUACCCCAAAGCCUGCUAUAUGUCAUCAGACAACACGAUCCAAAUGUUUAGGAGUUUCCUGAACUCCCAUCAACUAUAUCCUAUAUUCAGUCAGCCCCUAAGGUCGACUUUCCUCCCCCAAAGGGGAAUGUAAGACACAUCCUCAUCUUACACUCACUGCUAUCCUGGAUAUCUGAAUAACUCUCCCCCACUUAGAUUCCACUAAGUCCGCUCAACAUAUGAGAAUUGAAGGUUUCCCAAAGCCUCUCUCGUUCCAAUGAUCAAUCUGCUGAUGGACGGUGCCUAAUAAAGCUUUAACACCAUGAAUAACCCUUCUAAAAUAACAUGAUUCCCGAAAACCAGCUAACACUUCUUGAAUCCCAACAAUGCCAAUGACUCUGGCUGUUUAAACUGAUAUCACAAUCAGAUCUCAGAGUCCAAAAAUCAUAUGCUCCCACCACACUUUGGUGACCAAUUCUCUCUUCCUUUGACAACCCCAAAAGCCUUUCCAAACAUAAUUUCUAAGGUUACUGGAACCUAGUCAUAAUUCCCUUGUUCAAGCCCUUGAACCAACCCCGAAAAUAACUGGAGCAGGUGCACCCACUGCUCCUCCCUGAUCGUCAGUCAAUCGACCUCCUUGUCGUUCACCUAAACACAACGAAAAUAUAACGAGGUUGCUCCCUAUGGGCAAUCCCUGAUGAUGGGGCCAAACCUGCUACACCUAUAGCAACCCAGAUCACUGAACAGAUUCUGAAAACGACUCAGAGCAAUCACGGUACAUGCAGAAUCAGUUCCGCAAGAUACGUUCGUCUGAAAAUCUCUCAAAGAUUCCUCAACAUGCUGAAUGGCAUCAGAAAACCCUUGCUAACCUAGACAAUAGCACAAAAUCAACCUGAGAUCCAACUCAUCACAAUUUCCCAAGAAUUACAAAUACUCGGUAUCCACCGGAAAUGGCCGAAGAUAGCAUAUUCGCAAACAUCUGAAGGUAUCUUGACCACCUCCUCCUGUGAUACCUCAACUACCCUGAGAACAUGAUGUAGCACCUCAUUCCGAUCCCAAUAGCAAUCCAAACCCUUGGGGUGAAACUUCAUCAUGCAGUUUCUGAAAGCGUUACACUGGAUCCGGCCCUGCUGGCUUUUCAAAAGCUGAUCUAAACUCUUGGGUCUCCACCCGAGACCCUCCAAUAAAUUCGCCUGACCUGAACCUCCCUCGUUGAGAUAUUCCUAAUCAAUCUUCCAUCCUCGACUCUGAGAUCCAUAUCAUUCAGGGUCUCGCACCCUGACACACUCACCAGCUCAAUCGACACGACUAUACUGCAAUAACUGGAGUAAUCUCUGCUCUAACCGGGCUACAAUAUCCCUGAUACUUGGUCUCCAAACCCGAAUGUGAAAUAGAUCGCACAAUCAACCCUUGCUGCCUGAUACAAAGGAUCCGAGGCGAACUCAAAAUCCUAGCAGUCCUUCCACUGGCUGGCUCACCACCGGAGCCGGGACCAAAUCCUAAUCCCACUUAUGCGUGCUCAUCCUCAUUCUGCAAAGCAACUAUUCCCAUGAUCAAGGCAUAACCAAGAAUUCUCCUUCCCAUAAGCUUCUCAAAUUCUCUAAGACUCUCACCGAUUCGAGUAUGGAUCAUGUGCUUUCAGUAGUACGGGUCCAAUACUACCUUCCACACCUAUCCAUACUUUCCUCAGCAAUCCUCCUGAAUCCUUUAAGUCGCUUACUCCACCGGUACACUAAAUGUCUACUAAACAACAAGACAAUCUCUACCAUAGCACCUCCUAGACUCCCCCUAGGUUCCCAACUCCACAGAAUCACCCCACUAAGCUUACUGGAGCAUAACAUAGGCUUUCCUAGGUUCCCAACCUCGCUAUUCCAUCAGCUGCUGAGGACUCCUCAUGAUGCCAACCAUCCACCUCCUGGAUAUCGUCAUGUCCACUUAGUAGCUGACUCCCAUCAUUCAAGAGUUCCACAAAGCACAAAGCAAGCAUCAUUUGUGCAGUAGCAUUCCGAUCCAAAGAAUUAUCAUAGAACUUUCCGUUCACAUGUCGCGACUUGCGAUGUCCACAUCCAUCCAUCCUCACAGUCGGUUGCCUUUAUAUAUGCAAAUUGUACACAUAACAGGAAGUGAGUCCUAACCGUAUACAAUUUUUAAAACAUACACUUAACAAUUACAAAUACCAAUUAUCAUUCUAAUUCCAUCAUGACAUCCAAUAUCCUCAUGGCUACAAGCACCACAUAUCAAGCCAACCUAUUGCUGACUACUAAGCACUAGCAUGCAAGUUUACCAGCUCAUACAACAUAUAAAGGCAUCUCUCCUAGCCCUAACUAGCAUGCGAUUCUCAUAUUCAUAAAUGAAAUCAUAACAAAUAACAAUUGUGGGUAUUCUAGGAAACUUACUUGAGGUCAGUUCAAUGCAUGCACCACACCCUUUCUUGUCUUAGAAAACCUUUUCCUUGAUACAUUUUCUUUUGAAAAUUUUGAAAGUUUUAUAGAUCCUCAGUUUGAGUCCAGACACACCCGAAGGUAUCCCCGAAUCCCUAAAACCAAGGCUCUGAUAUCAACUUGUAACGACCCAAAAAUCAAGGGUAAAAAUUUCAUUUUUAAUAUAGCUAAAACAUUGAUACCCUUUAUUCUAAACAAUUCAAAUCAUAAUUAAGUAAAACAUUUAUCAGAGUUCAUCCCAAAAUCAUUCACUGCGGAAAUCAUAGGCGUGUGCACUACGAUCAAUCUGAGCCCUUCCUUUCCAAAACGAUGACACCUGAAACCAUAAACAAAACCUGUAAGCACGAAGCUUAGUGAGUUUCCUAGAGCAUACCAUACACACAAACCACAUAUCACAUAUCCUGUUGCUAUACAAGCUACCUGUAUCAAAUUUCCUGCUAGCUAUAAAAGCUACAUACAACACAUAAGCCAUGCAUAGAAACCUGUAAGGAUGCCGUGGGCUCCCCCAGGGUCUUACACCAUUGUGCCAUGGGAUACCCCACAUGGUCUUAACCUGAGAAUGCCAUGGGCUACCCCACAUGGUCUUAUAUCUAAUUGCCACAGGCUCCCCCCGGGGUCUUCCAUGCAAGUAUCACAAAGACAACUAGCAUAACACAUAUCACAUAAACAUAUCAUAUAUCACAGAAAUAUCUACACAUAACACAAAUAAACCUGUAAGAAUGCCAUGGGAUCCCCCCAGGGUCUUACACCAUUGUGCCAUGCGCUACCCCACAUGGUCUUUACCUAGGAAUGCCAUGGGCUACCCCACAUGGUCUUACAUCUAAUGCCACGGGCUCCCCCCGGGGUCUUCCAUGCAAUAACACACAAUCACAUAGCAUAUCAAAUCAUAGAAUGACUAAAACAUAUACCAUAAUCACAUAAUGGGCCGGCCUUGGUGCCUUAGACCCAUGGGUAUGGUGAGAAGACUCACCUCGAAUGCAGAAGCUUCCUGAAGAAGUCCUUAGCUGCUGCCCCACCAGCUACCCGAGCUGUCACUACCGAUCAAUAUACCCCAUUAGCAAUUAGGUCCCAUACCAUAAUCCUUAAUCCAUGCAUGGGGUAAAAUGACCAUUUUAUUCCUGACGCAAUAUGAUCCAAAACUAAGGCCUGAACCUAAAACAAAGCCCAACAUUAUAAUGUCCAUAAAACCAUCAAUGGCCCAAUUUUCCAAAUUGGGCCCAAACCAUUCUAAUGGACCUUAUACUAAAGCUCAAUAUUCUCCUUAGUCAAUAAUCCUGACCCCAAAUGGCCCACGAAGGCCUAAAACAACCUAGUCCAAGAAUUGGCCCAAUACUAAGUAAGUUUCCCAAGCCUACUAGUAGCCCACUAAUGGCCCAAUUUGCAACAUUGGGCCCAAUCCCUUAUGGGCCUUACCCUAAGCCCAAUUAUAUUUUCCUUGGCCCAUAUUAACUGACUCCUGACAGCCCACUAUGGCCCAAAGGCCAAAAAUCCAAAAACACAGCCCACACCGAGGCCCAAUAUGUACAAAGCCCAACUCUACUGAGUACGCUGGGCGUACUCCAAUGUACACUAAGCGUACUAGCCUGCUAGUGAGUACGCUGGGCGUACCUGCACGUACGCUCAACGUAAUCCUCCUGUUACGACACUUUUUCAUUAAGUGCUUGAUACUCCACUCUAGAGGCUACCAACUCAGAUCCAGGUCCUUACUGAUGUCUUAAACCAUAAAGUCACUAACUUGAUGACUUGCAAUCCACCAAACAAGCCCAAACUCUAAAAGGUGACAACAUGCUUUCAUUCCAAGGGCUAGAUCUCAUGCGUGGACACAAAUGAGUCCUAAAGGUUGAAACUUU
RNAcentral lists this long non-coding RNA (7828 nucleotides) under Lactuca sativa (garden lettuce). RNAcentral's name for it is "long non-coding RNA (LSAT_LNC002149)". The record is from RNAcentral. Lineage: Eukaryota; Viridiplantae; Streptophyta; Magnoliopsida; Asterales; Asteraceae.